Gossypium raimondii (Peruvian cotton) is the source of this 1691-nucleotide RNA transcript. RefSeq lists it as uncharacterized. The record is from RefSeq and is a predicted model, not a curated record. The transcript is spliced from 5 exons. NCBI's taxonomy places the organism in Eukaryota, Viridiplantae, Streptophyta, Magnoliopsida, Malvales, Malvaceae.
AAUGAAUGAGCUGAAUGAGCUAUCAGCCAUAAGCUCCCUUGCUGCACGUUUGUGAGCAAGUAAAAAUUUUCUUGCACCUUGCUUCAUGUUCUGUUCUCUUAUUUUGCUGCUGCCAUUGUUCCAACAUUCCUUGAUUUUUUUAGUAGAUAAAGCUUUUUCCUAAAUGCUCUGUACUGCCAGGCACGUGAAAAGUUCGUGUCUUUGAAGAAGAACACACCGGGAGAUGUUGUUGCUGUGCUAAAAGAGAUAGAGCCAAUCCCAAGUGAAAAUCUGCCUCCUGGUUUUGAUCCUGUUGAAGGUUGCAAGCUUAUCAGAAAGGAAAAUAGGAGACCUAGAUAUUUAAAGGUAAUUUUUAUUUUUUCCUCCUCCUUCUUCCGUUCUUCAUCUUCUUCUCCUUCUUCAUCCAGGUAACUUUCCUCCUUCUACUUCUUCCGUUCUUCACCUUUUAUUUCCAAUUUUCCUUAGCUUUGUCCGUCGCAUAUCUUCUCUUCUGAGGGCUGCUGUUUUGUUUCGCUCAAACCUAUGGCUGCUUUCACCUCUUUCUCUCUUUUUCGGUACUCUUUUAUCUGUUUAUAUUUUGUUAAUGUUAAUGACAGAUUGAUAAAGUAUUGAUUCUGGGUAUUUGAUUUGGACAGUAAUUAUGCAACGACUGGAAAGAUUGUUGCAAUUGUGAGAGCCUCACCACGACUCUCUUAUUCUCUCACCUCCAUCAAUUUUCUAACACCAAAUCACUUCUUUUCUUUUUAUUUGGUUGGGAAGUUCUCUUAUUUCGGCAUUCAAUUGAUGAUUACUAUUAUUCUUUUCGUUGUCAGUUGGCUGAUCAAUGAAAUGGGGGUAGAAAGAAGGUUUAAUUGGGUUCUAUUCGUGGUUUUUUUAGUAGUCUAGCCAGCCAGAGAAGUGAAGAAGAGCUAGAAAAAUUUCAGAUGUUGAAUUUUAUUGGCCUUUCUUGAUACCUUCGAAUCACUCUUUGUAGAUAUCUAUGUCGUGCUAGUCCUACACAUGAUGAAGAGGCUGCGAAAAAGGCAGCUGCAAUCAAUUCUGAUAGUGGAGCUCCAACCAUAUCAUAGCUAAGGAAAUUCCUUCAACCAUCGUGUAUGAAGAUGAUAAAGUCUUAGCAUUCAAAGACAUCAGUCCGCAGGCUCCUGUUCAUGUUUUGGUGAUUCCAAAGUUUAGGGAUGGGUUGACACAGCUUGGGAAGUAAGGGAGAAAGAGAUUGGACAAGAAGAAUUGGCAAUGAUCGUCAUUUAAUCUGCAUAGAGGAUCCUUCUGUGGUAUCUCAUGACCUUGGUCGAGUGGUGGACAAGUUCAGCAUUAAAGUUCUAAGAGAAGAGUUUGAACGAGCGGCUGAUGUAAUGCAGUAUGAUCCAAAUCCUUAGAUAACACUCUUUGAACCUUACGUCCCUGGGUAACAAAACCUUGUCCAAGUGUGUUAGAAAAUCAAUGGUUAAAAUUAUUUGGUUGGUUUUUGUAGUCGAUGUGCUUUGCGUCCCCCAUAAUCUUCAAUUUUGACCUUUUGAGUUCGCAUCCAUUUUAAAGAAGUUUAAGCUUAUUAUAUGUAAUCAAGAAAAGAAAUUUCCAAACAUUUUAUGGGUGAGUGUUAAACAAGUUGUAAUUAAUUGAUUGAUAGUGUAUACAAAUUCAUGUAUGAUCCAAACAUAUUUAUAUCAAAUGAAUAUAUAUAUAUUGAUGUA